Molecule: long non-coding RNA, 1071 nt
Filed under: Canis lupus familiaris (dog)
Lineage: Eukaryota; Metazoa; Chordata; Mammalia; Carnivora; Canidae
Description: lncRNA (ENSCAFG00845004782.1)
Source: RNAcentral
CUGCCUUUGGCUCAGGCUGUGAUCCCAGGGUCCUGGGAUUGAUCCUUAUAUUGUGCUCCCUGCUCAGUGGGAAACCUGCUUCCCUUCUCCCUUUGCCACUCCUGCCCCUUGCUUGUGUGCUCUCUGAAAUAAAAAAUAAAAAAUAAAAUAAAAUAAAAUAAAAUAAAAUAAAAUAAAUAAAAUAAUAAUAAAAUAAAAUAAUAAAAUAAAUAAAAUAUUUUAGGAAGUCAGAUGUCAUUGUGAAAAGUUUCUUUGAUAGUUGCUAUUUUUCUUUUAUUUCUUACUUUCUCUUUGGGUUGCAGUUUCAGAAGUAUAAUCCACGAUUAAUAAGGAAGUAGAGGAAAUAAACUUUCUGGGAUUGUAAAUCAUUUUUUACUAAUACUAGUCUAAUCCUAUAAUAGAAAUAACGUUAAGUAUAUGCUAUAUAUGCAGUCAUUGAGUGACCUAAGAAAAUGUAGAUAGAAAUUCUCAUUUAACAGUUUUGACAAUUCAUUUGCAUUUAACUCAAAUCUUUGUACAACUUGUUUUUGUAGGAGUAAAGACUGUUUUUUUUUCCUGAUUAUUAGUUUUUUAAUACAUGCAGAGGAAUAUUACCAGUAAGAGCUUCCUUUCAACUCCUUAUGCUGGAGGUAUCAUGCAUCAAUAAUUUCAUAUUUGUUUCUAUGAAAACCAAGGAGAUUGGAACGUGUAAAGAUAAAGUACGUAGAAAUUAAUACAACAUUUCAUAUUCACAUUUACCAACAGACUUUUUGGCUUUACUCCUAAUUAAAUUCCUUUCAGUAAACAUCUAAUGGGCCCCUGCAAGGUACUGAAUAAUACAAUGAAACAUUCUUAUUACUUAGAGAUGUAGGUUGUAGACUCAUUGAAAUGGUCUCUCUUGGAGUUAUAUGUGACAUCAAAUAGCCGUGCUGAUUUGUUUUUUAUUGGAUUACUGGUUGCUUGGUAUUAUUAAAUAGCAAGGAAAUGAUUCUCUACUGAAGACCAGUGUGAUACCCUCUGACACAAUGGAAAAAAUGUAACUUUGUAGUAAUGUUGAUCUACCCCUAAGGAGGCUUUAGAUAUUUUUAUUUU